UGGAUGGAUGGAUAGAUGGGUAGAUGUGAAUCAUACACAGAUGUGUGGAUGAACCAGUAGGUGCGUGGAUGAAUAGAUAGGUAGAAGGGCAGAUAGGUGGAAGGGCGGAUGGGUGGAGGAUAAAUGGGUGGGAGAGUGGAGGUAACCACAGUACUUACCUGAGGCCUCUUCCUCUACUGCCUGAAUAGGGUAUGACUUCCACUCAGACUUCACCACCAGCUUGAGAACGUUGCGGGCAGCAGUCAGCCAGAAGUCCUCUGCUCCCAGGCCAGGGGAUACCCUGCUCAGCCCCUAGGCUUGAGGCCUGUUCUGGUUCCAGAACCUGAUCAUGACUUGCCCCAUUUUGGAUCCAGAACCUGACUCUACCUUUUCUGACUCUAGAGCCUGAGUUUAGAACUUGCUCCUGUUUCAGGCUGGUCACGGUGGCUGACGCCUGUAAUCCCA
This 444-nucleotide long non-coding RNA is filed under the name Homo sapiens (human). RNAcentral's name for it is "non-protein coding lnc-RPUSD3-1:1". The record is from RNAcentral. Lineage: Eukaryota; Metazoa; Chordata; Mammalia; Primates; Hominidae.